GGGUUGUGAGGUUAAGCGACUAAGCGUACACGGUGGAUGCCCUGGCAGUCAGAGGCGAUGAAGGACGUGCUAAUCUGCGAAAAGCGUCGGUAAGGUGAUAUGAACCGUUAUAACCGGCGAUGUCCGAAUGGGGAAACCCAGUGCAAUUCGUUGCACUAUCGUUAACUGAAUACAUAGGUUAACGAGGCGAACCGGGGGAACUGAAACAUCUAAGUACCCCGAGGAAAAGAAAUCAACCGAGAUUCCCCCAGUAGCGGCGAGCGAACGGGGAGCAGCCCAGAGUCUGAAUCAGCUUGUGUGUUAGUGGAACGGUCUGGAAAGUCCGACGGUACAGGGUGAUAGUCCCGUACACCAAAAUGCACAGGCUGUGAACUCGAAGAGUAGGGCGGGACACGUGGUAUCCUGUCUGAAUAUGGGGGGACCAUCCUCCAAGGCUAAAUACUCCUGACUGACCGAUAGUGAACCAGUACCGUGAGGGAAAGGCGAAAAGAACCCCGGCGAGGGGAGUGAAAAAGAACCUGAAACCGUGUACGUACAAGCAGUGGGAGCACCUUCGGGUGUGACUGCGUACCUUUUGUAUAAUGGGUCAGCGACUUAUAUUCUGUAGCAAGGUUAACCGUAUAGGGGAGCCGCAGGGAAACCGAGUCUUAACUGGGCGUUAAGUUGCAGGGUAUAGACCCGAAACCCGGUGAUCUAGCCAUGGGCAGGUUGAAGGUUGGGUAACACUAACUGGAGGACCGAACCGACUAAUGUUGAAAAAUUAGCGGAUGACUUGUGGCUGGGGGUGAAAGGCCAAUCAAACCGGGAGAUAGCUGGUUCUCCCCGAAAGCUAUUUAGGUAGCGCCUCGUGAACUCAUCUUCGGGGGUAGAGCACUGUUUCGGCUAGGGGGUCAUCCCGACUUACCAACCCGAUGCAAACUACGAAUACCGAAGAAUGUUAUCACGGGAGACACACGGCGGGUGCUAACGUCCGUCGUGAAGAGGGAAACAACCCAGACCGCCAGCUAAGGUCCCAAAGUCAUGGUUAAGUGGGAAACGAUGUGGGAAGGCACAGACAGCCAGGAUGUUGGCUUAGAAGCAGCCAUCAUUUAAAGAAAGCGUAAUAGCUCACUGGUCGAGUCGGCCUGCGCGGAAGAUGUAACGGGGCUAAACCAUGCACCGAAGCUGCGGCAGCGACACUAUGUGUUGUUGGGUAGGGGAGCGUUCUGUAAGCCUGCGAAGGUGACCUGUGAGGGUUGCUGGAGGUAUCAGAAGUGCGAAUGCUGACAUAAGUAACGAUAAAGCGGGUGAAAAGCCCGCUCGCCGGAAGACCAAGGGUUCCUGUCCAACGUUAAUCGGGGCAGGGUGAGUCGACCCCUAAGGCGAGGCCGAAAGGCGUAGUCGAUGGGAAACAGGUUAAUAUUCCUGUACUUGGUGUUACUGCGAAGGGGGGACGGAGAAGGCUAUGUUAGCCGGGCGACGGUUGUCCCGGUUUAAGCAUGUAGGCUGGUUGUCCAGGCAAAUCCGGAUAAUCAAGGCUGAGGUGUGAUGACGAGGCACUACGGUGCUGAAGUAACAAAUGCCCUGCUUCCAGGAAAAGCCUCUAAGCAUCAGGUAACAUCAAAUCGUACCCCAAACCGACACAGGUGGUCAGGUAGAGAAUACCAAGGCGCUUGAGAGAACUCGGGUGAAGGAACUAGGCAAAAUGGUGCCGUAACUUCGGGAGAAGGCACGCUGGUGUGUAGGUGAAGCCCCCGCGGGUGGAGCUGAGACCAGUCGAAGAUACCAGCUGGCUGCAACUGUUUAUUAAAAACACAGCACUGUGCAAACACGAAAGUGGACGUAUACGGUGUGACGCCUGCCCGGUGCCGGAAGGUUAAUUGAUGGGGUUAUCCGUAAGGAGAAGCUCUUGAUCGAAGCCCCGGUAAACGGCGGCCGUAACUAUAACGGUCCUAAGGUAGCGAAAUUCCUUGUCGGGUAAGUUCCGACCUGCACGAAUGGCGUAAUGAUGGCCAGGCUGUCUCCACCCGAGACUCAGUGAAAUUGAACUCGCUGUGAAGAUGCAGUGUACCCGCGGCAAGACGGAAAGACCCCGUGAACCUUUACUAUAGCUUGACACUGAACAUUGAGCCUUGAUGUGUAGGAUAGGUGGGAGGCUUUGAAGCGUGGACGCCAGUCUGCGUGGAGCCAACCUUGAAAUACCACCCUUUAAUGUUUGAUGUUCUAACGUUGGCCCCUGACCGGGGUUGCGGACAGUGUCUGGUGGGUAGUUUGACUGGGGCGGUCUCCUCCCAAAGCGUAACGGAGGAGCACGAAGGUUAGCUAAUCCUGGUCGGACAUCAGGAGGUUAGUGCAAUGGCAUAAGCUAGCUUGACUGCGAGCGUGACGGCGCGAGCAGGUGCGAAAGCAGGUCAUAGUGAUCCGGUGGUUCUGAAUGGAAGGGCCAUCGCUCAACGGAUAAAAGGUACUCCGGGGAUAACAGGCUGAUACCGCCCAAGAGUUCAUAUCGACGGCGGUGUUUGGCACCUCGAUGUCGGCUCAUCACAUCCUGGGGCUGAAGUAGGUCCCAAGGGUAUGGCUGUUCGCCAUUUAAAGUGGUACGCGAGCUGGGUUUAGAACGUCGUGAGACAGUUCGGUCCCUAUCUGCCGUGGGCGCUGGAGAAUUGAGGGGGGCUGCUCCUAGUACGAGAGGACCGGAGUGGACGCAUCACUGGUGUUCGGGUUGUCAUGCCAAUGGCACUGCCCGGUAGCUAAAUGCGGAAGAGAUAAGUGCUGAAAGCAUCUAAGCACGAAACUUGCCCCGAGAUGAGUUCUCCCUGAGACUAUAAGUCUCCUGAAGGAACGUUAAAGACGAUGACGUUGAUAGGCCGGGUGUGUAAGCGCAGCGAUGCGUUGAGCUAACCGGUACUAAUGAACCGUGAGGCUUAACCUUACAACGCCGAAG
RNAcentral lists this ribosomal RNA (2923 nucleotides) under Klebsiella pneumoniae. RNAcentral's name for it is "23S ribosomal RNA". It matches the Rfam family "Bacterial large subunit ribosomal RNA". Lineage: Bacteria; Pseudomonadati; Pseudomonadota; Gammaproteobacteria; Enterobacterales; Enterobacteriaceae. The record is from RNAcentral.